GCAUCAGCCCCCCCAGGCAGAGGCUGGGGUCCGAACUCCUGUCUGAGGCAUCUUCCAGCCGCACCCCAUCCACGUCAAUGACCCUGCCAGCGGGACGUGCUGGGGAAGACACCCCCUUGCGGUCGCCCCCCGCUGGAGCCCCCUCUGGCCAUCACACAGCCCGACUUUCCAGGUCUCUCAUCCCCCUAGGUGGCAACAAUGAAAACAGACCACAUUAAGGGUCAGGACUGUGGCCAUUCGAGAUCCAAACAGGCUACCACCAUCGGCCUCCCAUAAUGCCGUGCGCUUACACACCCUUAUUUUAGCCCCAUCCUGAGUGGCGUGUGUGCAUGUCUGUGUAUACAUGUGUGGUUAUUACAUUUAUACGGUUGCAAUAAGUAGUUACUUCCUGCCUGACUUUCAGUGGUCAUUAUGUAUUACAAUACUGGUGUAUGAGUGCGUACAUUUGUGCUUGUUAGUGCAUUUUGCACAUGUGUGUGUGUGUGUGUGUGGGCAUGUAUAUAUUACAUUGUGGAGACCAAUUGUCCCCCGCAAUGUGAUGAAAACAUGUUAUUUCGACCUUGUGGCACAUUUUUCCGGUCCCCACAAAGGGAAACUCAGUUUUAUCAAACUGUGAAUAUAAUCAAAAACACAAAAAUGUAAAAAAAAAAAAAAAAUGUGUAUUUUGCUUGGUUACUUAUGGUUAAGGUUAGGGCUGGGUAGGGGUUAAGGUUGUCAUAGCUGGGAUUAGGGUUAUGCCCAUAGAAAUGAAUGGCCGGUCCUCAUAAACAUAUGAGUACGACUGUGUGUGUGUCUAUUAUGAUAAAAACACAUUGUGAUAAAAAAUGUUAUUUGGACAUUGUGGGGACCAUUUUUCAGGUCCCUACAAAGUUCUGUGACUGCAGGCAAUAAACUAAAAAGCCUAGAA
This is a long non-coding RNA of Brienomyrus brachyistius, 907 nucleotides long. RefSeq lists it as uncharacterized. Lineage: Eukaryota; Metazoa; Chordata; Actinopteri; Osteoglossiformes; Mormyridae. The transcript has 2 exons. The record is from RefSeq and is a predicted model, not a curated record.